ACGAGAAUCUGCGGAAAGAGGAUUCGUCCAAUUGAAGCAGAGGACAGUGGCGGACGGGUGAGUAACGCGUGAGGAACCUGCCUUUCAGAGGGGGACAACAGUUGGAAACGACUGCUAAUACCGCAUGACAUAUAGAUGUCGCAUGGCAUUUAUAUCAAAGAUUUAUCGCUGAAAGAUGGCCUCGCGUCUGAUUAGCUAGUUGGUGAGGUAACGGCCCACCAAGGCGACGAUCAGUAGCCGGACUGAGAGGUUGAACGGCCACAUUGGGACUGAGAUACGGCCCAGACUCCUACGGGAGGCAGCAGUGGGGAAUAUUGGGCAAUGGGCGCAAGCCUGACCCAGCAACGCCGCGUGAAGGAAGAAGGCUUUCGGGUUGUAAACUUCUUUUGUCAGGGACGAGUAGAAGACGGCACCUGACGAAUAAGCCACGGCUAACUACGUGCCAGCAGCCGCGGUAAUACGUAGGUGGCAAGCGUUGUCCGGAUUUACUGGGUGUAAAGGGCGUGUAGCCGGGAGGGCAAGUCAGAUGUGAAAUCCACGGGCUCAACUCGUGAACUGCAUUUGAAACUACUCUUCUUGAGUAUCGGAGAGGCAAUCGGAAUUCCUAGUGUAGCGGUGAAAUGCGUAGAUAUUAGGAGGAACACCAG
RNAcentral lists this ribosomal RNA (647 nucleotides) under uncultured bacterium. RNAcentral's name for it is "bacterial SSU rRNA". It matches the Rfam family "Bacterial small subunit ribosomal RNA", at positions 66 to 712 of the family's 1533-position model. The record is from RNAcentral.